AAGUCGUAACAAGGUUUCCUAGGUGAACCUGCGGAAGGAUCAUUAAUGAAUUUAAGAUGAAACAGGUGGAGUUGUCGCUGGCCGCGAGGCAUCGUGCACGCUCUUCUGUUUUAUUCAUUCAUCUACACCUGUGCACCUAUUGUAGGCUGAGCAAUCAGUCUAUGUUUUUAUUACACACCCAGUAAAGUUAAACGAAUGUCAUACGGUUGCGCCUAGCGUGAUCUUUAAAAAACUAUACAACUUUCAACAACGGAUCUCUUGGCUCUCGCAUCGAUGAAGAACGCAGCGAAAUGCGAUAAGUAAUGUGAAUUGCAGAAUUCAGUGAAUCAUCGAAUCUUUGAACGCACCUUGCGCCCUUUGGUAUUCCGAAGGGCAUGCCUGUUUGAGUGUCAUUAAAUUAUCAACUCUGAGGUUUCUCAGAGCUUGGACUUGGAGUGUGCCGGGCCCACUUGUGGGUUCAGCUCCUCUUCAAAUGCAUAAGUGGAACCUUUGAUUGCGUACCUGCUCCAGCGUGAUAAUUAUCUACGUUGCAGCAGCGAAAAAGCAUUCGGAUCUGCCUACAACCCGUUGCGAUUGUGCAACACUAACCUUUGACAAUUUGACCUCAAAUCAGGUAGGAUUACCCGCUGAACUUAAG
RNAcentral lists this ribosomal RNA (637 nucleotides) under Arrhenia lobata. Its description in RNAcentral is "eukaryotic LSU rRNA". The stretch from base 239 to 392 matches the Rfam family "5.8S ribosomal RNA". Lineage: Eukaryota; Fungi; Basidiomycota; Agaricomycetes; Agaricales; Hygrophoraceae. The record is from RNAcentral.